AGGGACAGGCCUUUCUUUUGUCAAGUGUGGGAAGGACUGUGUGAGCACAAGUUCAUUCUCCAGCAGGUGAAUUUUGGAAACAGUUCAUAUGGAAGACGAGGAUCUGGAAAUGAGUUCCCUUGAAACCAUCUGUACAGACAUGGCCCGUGGAACAUCCUUCUGUCCUCUCCCUGUUUGGAAGCUUCCACCCAGAGGUUCAGGGCCCAGGAGCUCUGUCUGAGAGAGCGCUAAGGGCAGAGGGUUUUCUUGGACCUGUUUUGUGUGCAAAGCACGUAUAAGUCAAAGCCUUUUUCCGCAAGUGAGGUUGGUUAAGCAGAGAAAAGACAGCGAGGUGUUUUGUUUGUCUGGAAUCCUAUGGGCUUGGAGGCACAAUCUGGUGUACAGCAGGCCAGAGGGUCUGGAGUUAGCUGUGAUAUCAGGUGUUCUAGAGAGACUCUUUUGGGUCUUUGGUGGCCAUUACCCUCUAAGCAUAGCUUCACAUGAUAGGAUGAAGUUUCUUUGCACUAACAGUGUCAGGAGCUGGAACUGGAGUUACAAGUCUAGUUUAAAGAGCUAUCCAAAGGUUUCCAUUUCUACUGGCUUGAGGGCAAAAGAGGUUGUUGGGGGGCUUGCCUUUGGCCUCUGAGCCCAAGGGAUUCCAAAUGAAUGCUCCGCAAAGGUAAGCCUGUAUCAUUCAGCUUUGUGCAUUCAUCCCCAUAGCUUGUGCAAGGCAGACAGUGUUCAAUAAAGAA
RNAcentral lists this long non-coding RNA (731 nucleotides) under Bos indicus x Bos taurus (hybrid cattle). RNAcentral describes it as "lncRNA (ENSBIXG00000006112.1)". The record is from RNAcentral. Lineage: Eukaryota; Metazoa; Chordata; Mammalia; Artiodactyla; Bovidae.